CAGUAGCCGCGGUAAUACGAAGGGUGCAAGCGUUAAUCGGAAUUACUGGGCGUAAAGCGUGCGUAGGCGGUGAGUUAAGUCUGCUGUGAAAUCCCCGGGCUCAACCUGGGAAUGGCAGUGGAUACUGGCUCGCUAGAGUGUGUCAGAGGAUGGCGGAAUUCCCGGUGUAGCGGUGAAAUGCGUAGAGAUCGGGAGGAAUACCGGUGGCGAAGGCGGCCCCCUGGACAAAGACUGACGCUCAGGUGCGAAAGCGUGGGGAGCAAACAGGAUUAGAUACCCCUGUAGUCCCUGUCCUUAUACA
This 301-nucleotide ribosomal RNA is filed under the name uncultured bacterium. RNAcentral describes it as "partial 16S ribosomal RNA". It matches the Rfam family "Bacterial small subunit ribosomal RNA", at positions 509 to 809 of the family's 1533-position model. The record is from RNAcentral.